RNAcentral lists this ribosomal RNA (999 nucleotides) under uncultured bacterium. RNAcentral's name for it is "bacterial SSU rRNA". It matches the Rfam family "Bacterial small subunit ribosomal RNA", at positions 356 to 1376 of the family's 1533-position model. The record is from RNAcentral.
GGGGAAUAUUGCACAAUGGGGGAAACCCUGAUGCAGCGACGCCGCGUGAAGGAAGAAGUAUCUCGGUAUGUAAACUUCUAUCAGCAGGGAAGAAAAUGACGGUACCUGACUAAGAAGCCCCGGCUAACUACGUGCCAGCAGCCGCGGUAAUACGUAGGGGGCAAGCGUUAUCCGGAUUUACUGGGUGUAAAGGGAGCGUAGACGGACUGGCAAGUCUGAUGUGAAAGGCGGGGGCUCAACCCCUGGACUGCAUUGGAAACUGUUAGUCUUGAGUGCCGGAGAGGUAAGCGGAAUUCCUAGUGUAGCGGUGAAAUGCGUAGAUAUUAGGAGGAACACCAGUGGCGAAGGCGGCUUUCUGGACUGAAACUGACGCUGAGGCUCGAAAGCGUGGGGAGCAAACAGGAUUAGAUACCCUGGUAGUCCACGCCGUAAACGAUGAGUGCUAGGUGUCGGGGAGGAAUCCUCGGUGCCGCAGCUAACGCAAUAAGCACUCCACCUGGGGAGUACGACCGCAAGGUUGAAACUCAAAGGAAUUGACGGGGGCCCGCACAAGCGGUGGAGCAUGUGGUUUAAUUCGAAGCAACGCGAAGAACCUUACCAAGGCUUGACAUCCCGAUGACCGCUCUAGAGAUAGAGUUUCUCUUCGGAGCAUCGGUGACAGGUGGUGCAUGGUUGUCGUCAGCCCGUGUCGUGAGAUGUUGGGUUAAGUCCCGCAACGAGCGCAACCCUUAUUGCUAGUAGCCAGCGGUUCGGCCGGGCACUCUAGUGAGACUGCCUGAGACAAUCCGGAGGAAGGUGGGGAUGACGUCAAAUCAUCAUGCCCCUUAUGACUUGGGCUACACACGUGCUACAAUGGUGGUAACAAAGUGAUGCAACCUCGUGAGAGUAAGCCAACCACAAAAAUGCCAUCUCAGUUCGGAUUGUAGUCUGCAACUCGACUACAUGAAGCUGGAAUCGCUAGUAAUCGCAGAUCAGAAUGUUGCGGUGAAUACGUUCCCG